Molecule: non-coding RNA, 112 nt
Organism: Acanthosepion pharaonis
Lineage: Eukaryota; Metazoa; Mollusca; Cephalopoda; Sepiida; Sepiidae
Source: the annotation of a GenBank genome assembly
ACAACCAUAUCACUCUGAAACACCAGUUCUUGUUCAAUCACUAAAGUUAAGCAAUGUCAAUCCUGGUCAGUACUUUGAUGGGUGACUGCUUAGGAAUACUAGGUGCUGUAAG